Molecule: ribosomal RNA, 1172 nt
Filed under: Coxiella-like endosymbiont of Rhipicephalus bursa
Lineage: Bacteria; Pseudomonadati; Pseudomonadota; Gammaproteobacteria; Legionellales; Coxiellaceae
Description: bacterial SSU rRNA
Rfam family: Bacterial small subunit ribosomal RNA
Source: RNAcentral
GCUAUGAGAUGAGCCUGCGUCGGAUUAGCUAGUUGGUAGGGUAAUGGCCUACCAAGGCGACGAUCCGUAGCUGGUCUGAGAGGACGAUCAGCCACACUGGGACUGAGACACGGCCCAGACUCCUACGGGAGGCAGCAGUGGGGAAUAUUGGACAAUGGGGGAAACCCUGAUCCAGCAAUGCCGCGUGUGUGAAGAAGGCCUUCGGGUUGUAAAGCACUUUCAGUGGGGAAGAAAUUCUCAAGGCUAAUACCCUUUUGAGCGUUGACGUUACCCACAGAAGAAGCACUGGCUAACUCUGUGCCAGCAGCCGCGGUAAUACAGAGAGUGCAAGCGUUAAUCGGAAUCACUGGGCGUAAAGCGCGCGUAGGUGGAUAUUUAAGUCGGAUGUGAAAGCCCUAGGCUUAACCUGGGAAUUACAUCCGAUACUAGGUAUCUCGAGUAUGAUAGAGGGAAGUGGAAUUUCCGGUGUAGCGGUGAAAUGCGUAGAUAUCGGAAAGAACAUCAGUGGCGAAGGCGGCUUCCUGGAGCAAUACUGACACUGAGGCGCGAAAGCGUGGGGAGCAAACAGGAUUAGAGACCCUGGUAGUCCACGCCGUCAACGAUGAGAACUAGCUGUUGGAAAGUUUAAUUUCUAGUAGCAAAGCUAACGCGUUAAGUUCUCCGCCUGGGGAGUACGGCCGCAAGGUUAAAACUCAAAGAAAUUGACGGGGGCCCGCACAAGCGGUGGAGCAUGUGGUUUAAUUCGAUGCAACGCGAAAAACCUUACCUACCCUUGACAUCCUCGGAACUUGUCAGAAAUGACUUGGUGCCUUUGGGAACCGAGUGACAGGUGCUGCAUGGCUGUCGUCAGCUCGUGUCGUGAGAUGUUGGGUUAAGUCCCGUAACGAGCGCAACCCUCGUCCUUAGUUGCCAGCGGUUCGGCCGGGAACUCUAAGGAGACUGCCGGUGAUAAACCGGAGGAAGGUGAGGAUGAUGUCAAGUCAUCAUGGCCCUUACGGGUAGGGCUACACACGUGCUACAAUGGGCAGUACAAAGGGUUGCCAAACCGUGAGGUAAAGCUAAUCCCAAAAAGCUGCUCGUAGUCCGGAUUGGAGUCUGCAACUCGACUCCAUGAAGUUGGAAUCGCUAGUAAUCGCGAAUCAGAAUGUCGCGGUGAAUACGUUCUCGGGCCU